Non-coding RNA from Vicugna pacos (alpaca), 1076 nucleotides. The record is from RefSeq and is a predicted model, not a curated record. Lineage: Eukaryota; Metazoa; Chordata; Mammalia; Artiodactyla; Camelidae.
UUAAAAAAAAAGGAACAAGCUACUGAUUCACAGAACAACAUGGAUGAAUUUUUAAUGAAUUUUUCUAAGUGAAAGAAACGAGACUGUUAAGACGGUGUAAUAGUAACUCUGGAAAACAGUACUUUGGAUACUGUAAGGCUAUAAACAAAAAGAACUUCACACAAAUACUAUUCCACAGCGGGUAAGUUCAUUUCCCACCUGGGGAGAUAUACAACUAAGUGCAAUGUGGUGUCAUGCAAUAGGUCCUAGAACGGAAGGACAUUAGUGGAAAAACUGACGAAAUCCAAAGAGUCUACAGUUAAUAGUAUUGUACUAAUGUUAACGUCUUAGUUUGAAAUGUACCGUAAUCAUUUAAGACAUUGAUACUAGGGGAUGUGGGGUAACAAGUAUACACGAAAUCUGUACCAACUCUGCAACUCUUCCAUGAACAUAAAAUCAUUUCAAAAUAAAAAGUUUAAAAAAACUAACAAACAGAACCAAAAAACUAUGUAAAGUACCCUAAAUUGCUGAUCCUGUCCUAGAAGAAAUCUUUGUCACAUACAUCAAGACACGUACAAGGAUUUUUACAGCAACAUUAUUAGCAGUAGUCAAAAAUGGAAACAACUUACAAAUCCAGCAACAGUGGAAAGGAUAAUAAAACAUAACAGAGCCAUGUAACAGCGUAUGUUCACAGCAGUGAGACCUGUCAAGGCGCUGCAGCACGGCCAGAUACCACACCGCCACCGUUGAGUGAAACAGACACCGCACACAGCAAAUACACUAAGAUUACACUCAAAUAAUACUUAAAACCAGGCUCAAUUAAACUAUACUGUCUAGAGAUCCACACACAGGUGGUGAAAUUACUAGGCUGAAAUAUAAAAUUCCAGAUAUUCAAUGAUUUUUUUAUACAAAAAAUGGCAAUUUCAUAUGGUUCAACCUUAAAUGAAAGAAAAACAAGGAAAUCAUUGCCACAAGUCAAGAGCGUGGUUGCCUCUGGGGGAUGGGAGACGGCUGUGACUGGGACAGGUACACAGGGGACUUCUAGGGAACUGGAAACGGCCUCCUUCUUGAUCUAGGUGGGUGAGAUCGGAAGGGCA